RNAcentral lists this long non-coding RNA (1747 nucleotides) under Salmo salar (Atlantic salmon). Its description in RNAcentral is "lncRNA (ENSSSAG00000107692.1)". The record is from RNAcentral. Lineage: Eukaryota; Metazoa; Chordata; Actinopteri; Salmoniformes; Salmonidae.
UCUGUGUGUCGUUCACUGGUGUCCGUCUAAUACCGCAUGGAAGGUGUUGAACAACACAUAAUAGACAACCCUCUCCAUAGACCUCCAGACCUUACAAAGGUCCUCAUGAGUGCCCAUUUUAAAGGUCUCCUUGAGAGGAUAUGAGCAGUUGUUGUUGACCUCAAUGUUGGUGUGAUGUGUGAGAGCUUGAUCAACGCUUAAGGUGAUUGUUAAAUCGAAGUCUCCGUUGUCCAUUUUUCUGGGGCAGAUGAACUCCGAGCUGAGCGGAGUUUGAGGCUCACUGACGGCACAUCUCCCCUUCUCCAGAUAAUAAACACAUGGUGCUUGUACCUCGUGCAUAAAGCGGUGAAACGUAUGGUGUUCAGAGCGCAGUGUCUGUAUCUCAUUCAAGGUUUUAGUCAAUCCCGGAAAACCUAGACAGGUAAUAGUUGUCUUGUAUCUGGCAAAGCCUGAAAGUCUCACGGUGUAGUUCAGUUUGAAAAUGGGUGGCGGUAUACCCUGUUCGAUCAUAUGGUCUAGAAGCUCCCGAGUAUCUCUUUCCAGCUUCGAUCGAGUGGAACACAAAGCUAUCGGUACAGUUUGUUUCCCUGUGUCAAGGCCAUGGCGCUGCUGGUCCAUCAGGACUUUGGCCAUCAUAGAAUAUGCAGUAGAACCUAACUAUCUGCUACGAUCUGGAAUGAGAUUGUGCUGUCAGCAAAAAAAUGGAGACGGUAAUAGGUCAGAACAGUUCCUUGUGCAGUUGAAAGACAAGAGGUUGGACAAUUGUAGAGAUAUACAGCAAAUGGGACUGUGACUAGUGGCUCAACAGAGGCUCAUGAACUACACCACCUUUCACAUUUACGAACGUCUGCUGUAUAUAGCCAGACUCUCGCGACACCCAUAAGAGUGCUUCUCUCUACACAUAUCCAAAUGUGCAACUUUUUCGAAACAAUCACUAAUCUGUUCCAAAAGACCACCAGGAUUGGUAUGGCCAUAGACACACAUUUCCCCUACCAGUACAAUGUACUGCCCUUUGAAUGUUUGGAUAAGUCCUUCGUAGCCAAUAGCAUGAAAACAGGGGUAUAUAAACAUCAAGGUGUCCACUCCAGUGUAUUUGUCAACUGCGUCGACACAGGACAGUUUUUCCACCAUGCCGUGAGGAGGCUCGAUGUCCGUGAUAUGAACUGUCUUUGCACUAAGUACCUUGUAAGCAAUGUAGCAUUCGGUUAACAUGAACCUGCUGCCCACUGCUAGGAUGUCAUUCAUCCCGGACACAGUUAGAUGUGACAUGUUUUCUAUCAAAUCGGUAAAACAACUGUUUCCGUAUUGGAAACGUAGAGGUGUUUCUUUCAAAAUACUGUCCAUGAACACAGCUGCACCUUCCCAAAAGUCAUCACAUUCAUCAUCAACACCAGCCUUGUUCAAGUAAAGCUUCUUGAUCAUCUCUGAAGAGACUGGUUGAUGACUCACAUGCCCACACCAUGCAUCACAUGAGAAGGGAGAGGCCGAUAUCACUUAUGAGGUGUGUUAAAUCUAGACGUUCCGCUAGCGGAACACCGCUCCAAUAUCCAAUGAUAGGGCGUGACGCGAAAUACAAACUCCUCGAAAAUCCGAAAACUUCAAUUUUUCAAACAUAUGACUAUUUUACACCAUUGUAAAGACAAGACUCUCCUUUAUCUAACCACACUGUCCGAUUUCAAAAAGGCUUUACAACGAAAGCAAAACAUUAGAUUAUGUCAGGAGAGUACCCAGCCAGAAAUAAUCAGAC